GCAGUCGCGGUUAUACCAUUAAUACAAAUAAAUUUUUUUAGUAUUAAUUAAAUUAAAUUUAUUAAUAAUAAUAAAAUUAAAUAUAUUAAGUGAAAUUUUAUAUUUAAAUUAUUAUAUAAAAAUGUAAUUGAGGUUAAAAAAUUUUAAUAAAAAACUAGGAUUAGAUACCCUAUUAUUUAAAAUGUAAAUAAAUUGCUAAAGUAGUAAUAGUUAUGUUCUUGAAACUUAAAAAAUUUGGCGGUAUUUUAGUCUAUCUAGAGGAACCUGUUUUUUAAUCGAUAAUCCACGAUGGACCUUACUUAAAUUUGUAAUCAGUUUAUAUACCGUCGUUAUCAGAAUAUUUUAUAAGAAUAAUAAUAUUCAAUAAUUUUAAUAAAAAUUUAUAUCAGAUCAAGGUGUAGCUUAUAUUUAAGUAAUAAUGGGUUACAAUAAAUUUAUUUAUAUGAAUAAAAUUAUGAAAAAAUUUUUGAAAGUGGAUUUAGUAGUAAAAUUAUAAAGAUUAAUAAUUUGAUUUUAGCUCUAAAAUAUGUACACAUCGCCCGUCGCUCUUAUUAUUAAGGUAAGAUAAGUCGUAACAUAGUAGAUGUACUGGAAAGUGUAUCUAGAAUGA
Molecule: ribosomal RNA, 610 nt
Filed under: Drosophila melanogaster (fruit fly)
Lineage: Eukaryota; Metazoa; Arthropoda; Insecta; Diptera; Drosophilidae
Description: partial 12S ribosomal RNA
Source: RNAcentral